AGAGGUUUCAGGUUUGAGGCUAUAGCAGAAGAGCUUACAGCACAGUCCUGUCAGAUUCCAACAAAUCUGAGAAUUCUGCU
This 80-nucleotide ribozyme is filed under the name Crocodylus porosus (Australian saltwater crocodile). Its description in RNAcentral is "Mammalian CPEB3 ribozyme (ENSCPRG00005011106.1)". It matches the Rfam family "Mammalian CPEB3 ribozyme". From Rfam's summary of the family: The mammalian CPEB3 ribozyme is a self cleaving RNA located in the second intron of the CPEB3 gene which belongs to a family of genes regulating messenger RNA polyadenylation. This ribozyme is highly conserved and found only in mammals. The record is from Rfam by way of RNAcentral. Lineage: Eukaryota; Metazoa; Chordata; Crocodylia; Crocodylidae.